GCUCCAAUAGCGUAUAUUAAAGUUGUUGCGGUUAAAAAGCUCGUAGUUGGAUUUCUGUCGGAGACGCGCGGUCCGCACUAUGUGCGUGUAUCUGUGUCGGCUCUGGCAUCCUCCUGGGGAACGGUGCUGCGCUUGAUUGCGUGGUCCGGUAUUCAGGACUUUUACUUUGAGGAAAUUAGAGUGUUUACGGCAGGCAAGCG
This 200-nucleotide ribosomal RNA is filed under the name uncultured eukaryote. RNAcentral describes it as "partial 18S ribosomal RNA". It matches the Rfam family "Eukaryotic small subunit ribosomal RNA", at positions 588 to 790 of the family's 1831-position model. The record is from RNAcentral.